This 253-nucleotide ribosomal RNA is filed under the name uncultured bacterium. RNAcentral's name for it is "partial 16S ribosomal RNA". It matches the Rfam family "Bacterial small subunit ribosomal RNA", at positions 524 to 776 of the family's 1533-position model. The record is from RNAcentral.
UACGGAGGAUCCAAGCGUUAUCCGGAAUCAUUGGGUUUAAAGGGUCCGUAGGCGGUUUAAUAAGUCAGUGGUGAAAGCCCAUCGCUCAACGAUGGAACGGCCAUUGAUACUGUUAAACUUGAAUUAUUAGGAAGUAACUAGAAUAUGUAGUGUAGCGGUGAAAUGCUUAGAGAUUACAUGGAAUACCAAUUGCGAAGGCAGGUUACUACUAAUAUAUUGACGCUGAUGGACGAAAGCGUGGGGAGCGAACAGG